GCAAGUCGAACGCGAACGCACCUUCGGGUGCAAGUAGAGUGGCACAAGGGUGAGUAAUGCGUGGAUAACCUGCCCCUGAGUCUGGAAUAACGGCGGGAAACUGCCGCUAAUGCCGGAUGGCCCUGAGAGAUGGCAUCUUCUCUUAGGUAAACGUGGGGAUCUCUUCGGAGACCUGCGGUUCAGGGAGGGGUCCACGACCUAUCAGCUUGUUGGUGAGGUAACGGCUCACCAAGGCUACGACGGGUAGGCGGGCUGAGAGGCUGACC
RNAcentral lists this ribosomal RNA (266 nucleotides) under uncultured bacterium. Its description in RNAcentral is "partial 16S ribosomal RNA". It matches the Rfam family "Bacterial small subunit ribosomal RNA", at positions 57 to 305 of the family's 1533-position model. The record is from RNAcentral.